RNAcentral lists this long non-coding RNA (1685 nucleotides) under Homo sapiens (human). RNAcentral describes it as "HSALNT0186619". The record is from RNAcentral. Lineage: Eukaryota; Metazoa; Chordata; Mammalia; Primates; Hominidae.
GAGUAGAGAUGUCUAUAUGUUAUCUAAAGAAUUAAAGGCUGGAAAGCAUUUUCAUUUCAAUGCAUUAUAUUUGGGCAUGGUGGCUUAUGCCUGUAACCCUAGCAUUUUUGGAAGCCAAAGGAGGAUCACUUGAGUUCAGGAGUUCGAGCCCAGCCUGGGCAACAUAGUGAGACCUCAUCUGUACAACAUUUUUUUUCUAAAAGUUGGACGGGCAUGUGGCAUGCAGCUGUAGUCUCAGCUACCAGGUGGUGGAGGGGAAGGGUUGCUUGUGCUCAGAAGGUUGAGGCUGUAGUGAGCCAUGAUGGUGCCACUGCACUUCAGCUUGGGUGACAGAGUGAGACCCUCAAAAAAAUGCAUGAUUAUAUUUUAAAUUGAUCAAUGUUAUAUUGUGUUUGCUAAUUUUUAAAUAAGAAUUUUGUGUGAAGGGCAGUAUUUUAGAGAAUAUAAUUCAAUUUCUAAAGGAAAGGACACUGAACUGGGAGUCAGGGAACCUCAUGCCAGGUUAUAGCUCUGCUUUUAUUUUUUAUUUAUUUAUUUUUUUUCCAGACAGAGUCUUACUCUGUUGCCCAGGCUGGAGUGCAAUGGGUGUGAUCUCAGCUCACUGCAACCUCCGCCUCCCAGGUUCAAGCGAUUCUCCUGCCUCAGUCUCCUGAGUAACUGGGAUUAUUGGCACAUGCCACCAUGCCCAGCUAGUUUUUGUAUUUUGUAUUUUUGGUAGGGUUUUGCCAUGUUGGUCAGGGUGAUCUUGAACUCCUGACCUCAGGUGAUCCACCUGCCUUGGCCUCCCAAAGUACUGGGAUUACAGGUAUGAGCCACCACGCCCAGCCAGCUCUGCUCUUAUAAAUAUGACCUAAAGUGUUGAAGUCUCAUUUCCAACUUAUGCAAAAUUUAGAUUCCUUCAAAGCCUGAUUUUCUGUAAUUCUAAUAAUUUCAUCACAAUUAGGACUUUGAAACCAAUGCAUCAGAUACGUUGAAUAUUGUGUUUUUCUUUCCUAAAAUAUAUUCAGCUGUUUAUGGAUAAAUACGUAGAAAAUUGCAGGUAAAAAAAAUCUAAGCAAAUGAUAAAACAGCAACAAACUGCAAGGGAGAAGAUAUUUUAGUCCAUAUUUUAAAUUCUAAUUUUCACUUUUAGAAUGUUUUAGAAGAGGCUGUGAAAUGGACGUGGUCAGGGAAGCUGGGCUGAAAAGAAGAAUCUCUGGGAAAGCCGGUGAUGUAGGGGCAGAUAAAGGAAGAUGGAGGUGUGAAGGAAGGAUUUAAUAGGAUGAAAGUGAUUUGAGCAUGUGUAUAUAGGUUAAGGAGAAUGAGCUGGUAGAAGAUAUAAGAAGGUUUGGGAAAAACUGAUGGAGCAAGAUCCUGAGUUAACGGGAGCAGAGUGGAUCCUAAUCAUUAGUGGGGGUUAACCUCAAACGGGGGAAGAUGCCUAGUCCCCUGACAACGCAUCUUUCCUGCAGAGAUGUUUUAAGGAGGGUUGCAGAAAGUGAUGUGUGUGUGGACGAGGCAGGUAGUACAUCUCUGUGGGAAGUGAGGUCAUCUGAAAGUGACGGUGAUAGGGAAGUAAAGAAAAUGGUGAAGGUUGGAGACAGCUAUGAAAAUGAGUGAAAGGACAACUGAGAAGAUUCUUGCAUAGGGUUAAGAGCACAGGUUAGAUGUGCAGAAGAGGCAGGUUGUCGGGUUAAGUCAGGAUG